UACGUAGGUGGCAAGCGUUGUCCAGAUUCACUGGGUGUAAAGGGUGCGCAGGCGGAUUGGCAAGUCAGAGGUGAAAUCUCACGGCUUAACCGUGAAACUGCCUUUGAUACUGCUAAUCUUGAGUUAGGGAGAGGUUGAUGGAAUUCCAGGUGUAGCGGUGAAAUGCGUAGAUAUCUGGAAGAACACCAGUGGCGAAGGCGGUCAACUGGCCCUUAACUGACGCUCAUGCACGAAAGCGUGGGUAGCGAACAGG
RNAcentral lists this ribosomal RNA (253 nucleotides) under uncultured bacterium. Its description in RNAcentral is "partial 16S ribosomal RNA". It matches the Rfam family "Bacterial small subunit ribosomal RNA", at positions 524 to 776 of the family's 1533-position model. The record is from RNAcentral.